This 405-nucleotide ribosomal RNA is filed under the name uncultured Novosphingobium sp. RNAcentral describes it as "bacterial SSU rRNA". It matches the Rfam family "Bacterial small subunit ribosomal RNA", at positions 354 to 776 of the family's 1533-position model. Lineage: Bacteria; Pseudomonadati; Pseudomonadota; Alphaproteobacteria; Sphingomonadales; Sphingomonadaceae. The record is from RNAcentral.
GUGGGGAAUAUUGGACAAUGGGCGAAAGCCUGAUCCAGCAAUGCCGCGUGAGUGAUGAAGGCCUUAGGGUUGUAAAGCUCUUUUACCAGGGAUGAUAAUGACAGUACCUGGAGAAUAAGCUCCGGCUAACUCCGUGCCAGCAGCCGCGGUAAUACGGAGGGAGCUAGCGUUGUUCGGAAUUACUGGGCGUAAAGCGCACGUAGGCGGUACAUCAAGUCAGGGGUGAAAGCCCGGAGCUCAACUCCGGAACUGCCCUUGAAACUAGUGUACUAGAAUCUUGGAGAGGCGGGUGGAAUUCCGAGUGUAGAGGUGAAAUUCGUAGAUAUUCGGAAGAACACCAGUGGCGAAGGCGGCCCGCUGGACAAGUAUUGACGCUGAGGUGCGAAAGCGUGGGGAGCAAACAGG